RNAcentral lists this long non-coding RNA (1487 nucleotides) under Zonotrichia albicollis (white-throated sparrow). RNAcentral's name for it is "lncRNA (ENSZALG00000008991.1)". The record is from RNAcentral. Lineage: Eukaryota; Metazoa; Chordata; Aves; Passeriformes; Passerellidae.
GGUACUUACUGAAAAGCACAGUCCUUUGCUCAGUUUAGGUGGCCAGUGUCAAACUCUCAGGUUUUCAGUAUUUGAUAUUCUUCCCUAAAAACUACCUUGUAGGUUUUCUUCUUUACCUUUUUAGUUAAUUUUGGAAAGAAAAAUAAUAUCAAUUACUUUUUUUCAGCUGUCCCUUUUUUCUUUUAAACACAGUGGAAGCAGAACUGUCAAGGAAUGAUUGGGUCAAACUUCGAAAGGUGGCCACCAAGCCUGAAGAAGAAGAAGAGAUCCCCCGACCAUGGGCAUCAUACUCUUCCCAACGAGUGCUUCAGGGAAGCGAUGACCUGAGGUAAAAUGCACUCAUCGCUUCUAAAAGCAGAAGACUGGCACUCUCAACUCAACCCAAAGUGACAUUGGAAGGAUAAGCAUAAUUUAAUGGGAAAAAGCACCAGAUGUGUCUAUGAGAAGACAGAGGCUGUUUGCAUUUUGUAUGUGCAAUGGAUGCAUGGGAUACCACAUGACAAGGAAGAGGCUAAAGUGUCAUUCUGUCUUAGGUGAAUAAAAGUGGCUCCACUCCAAUUUAUAUAUUAGCCCCCCGGGAAUCUUCCUGUGCUCUAUUUCACCGCUCCAGGGCAGGACUCAUCAGGAAAGCUCUUCUGGUGGACAAGAUAUAUUCCUACAGAUAGCAAACAUCAAUCAGCCCUUUAAGACAUUCUGGCAUCAGGGAAGACACAGCUUCUUUGAACACAGCAGCCCAUGCUGAACUCCAGCUGAGUAUAGGCCCAUGAAUGGACAUGAGCAAUGGACCAACGUGUUCAAGGAAAUCUGUGUUGCUAAGCAGACAGGAUGAUGGAUGUUAAACUGUCAGUAGAUUUCACUCGGUAUAUUCCCAGGAAUAAGUAGUCACAUUAGAAUUGAUUACGAUUCCCCUUAUCUCCAACAAUGCAAAAUAGAUUUAGGAACCCAUAGAUAACCAGAGCCAUUGCCCAUGAGGACUCCACAGAAAUGUGUUUGAUCUGCAAUUGACUUGCUCAGAAUACUAUUAGGAACAGGUUUUUCACUUUCCACAUGCAUUCUACUAUAAAAAGAAGACCUUUUUGUAACCUUGGAGAAUGCAGAGAAUCCAGGAAAACCAGCUCCAUACUUGAAUAGAACACAGCACAGGUAAACAUUGAGGUAAGGUUGAACUUCAGGAGAGAUGGAUUUAACUCAUAUCUCUGAUUUCUUGCCUAUUUUAUGGCUGUUACUUCACACUUUGUUUCAGUCUACACCCUAGAUAAAUUAUUGCAUUUCUUCUAGUUCUUGUUCACAUUCUCUGUUCAAAAUAUGGUUUCUGCCAUUAUUAUCACAGAAGAAAAAUGCAUUAACUGUGACAUCUGUACACAAACUCUUUGGUGACUCCAGUUCAUAGUUCUGCUAUCACAAUGAAAACCAGAAUCUGAUGACACUCAGUGCAAAGCAAAAGAGUAGUGGUAUGGAAAUAAAGAGUGAUAAUCAGAAUCCUUUCA